This 465-nucleotide ribosomal RNA is filed under the name uncultured bacterium. Its description in RNAcentral is "partial 16S ribosomal RNA". It matches the Rfam family "Bacterial small subunit ribosomal RNA", at positions 28 to 507 of the family's 1533-position model. The record is from RNAcentral.
GACGAACGCUGGCGGCGUGCUUAACACAUGCAAGUCGAACGGAAAGGCCCCUUUGGGGGUACUCGAGUGGCGAACGGGUGAGUAACACGUGAGUAACCUGCCCUUGACUUCGGGAUAACUUCAGGAAACUGGGGCUAAUACCGGAUAGGAAUCCUUGCUGCAUGGUGGGGGUUGGAAAGCUUCGGCGGUUUUGGAUGGACUCGCGGCUUAUCAGCUUGUUGGUGGGGUAGUGGCUUACCAAGGCUUUGACGGGUAGCCGGCUUGAGAGGGCGACCGGCCACAUUGGGACUGAGAUACGGCCCAGACUCCUACGGGAGGCAGCAGUGGGGAAUAUUGCACAAUGGGCGGAAGCCUGAUGCAGCAACGCCGCGUGCGGGAGGACGGCCUUCGGGUUGUAAACCGCUUUCAGCAGGGGCGAAGCUUGUGGUGACGGUACCUGCAGAAGAAGCACCGGCUAACUACGUG